RNAcentral lists this ribosomal RNA (253 nucleotides) under uncultured bacterium. RNAcentral's name for it is "partial 16S ribosomal RNA". It matches the Rfam family "Bacterial small subunit ribosomal RNA", at positions 524 to 776 of the family's 1533-position model. The record is from RNAcentral.
UACGUAGGGGGCAAGCGUUAUCCGGAUUUACUGGGAGUAAAGGGGGCGCAGACGGCGAUGCAAGCCAGGAGUGAGAGCCCGGGGCCCAACCCCGGGACUGCUCUUGGAACUGCGUGGCUGGAGUGCAGGAGGGGCAGGCGGAAUUCCUGGUGUAGCGGUGAAAUGCGUAGAUAUCAGGAGGAACACCGGUGGCGAAGGCGGCCUGCUGGACUGCAACUGACGUUGAGGCCCGAAAGCGUGGGGAGCAAACAGG